UGGGGAAUAUUGCACAAUGGGCGCAAGCCUGAUGCAGCCAUGCCGCGUGUGUGAAGAAGGCCUUCGGGUUGUAAAGCACUUUCAGCGAGGAGGAAGGUGGUGGACUUAAUACGUUCAUCAAUUGACGUUACUCGCAGAAGAAGCACCGGCUAACUCCGUGCCAGCAGCCGCGGUAAUACGGAGGGUGCAAGCGUUAAUCGGAAUUACUGGGCGUAAAGCGCACGCAGGCGGUUUGUUAAGUCAGAUGUGAAAUCCCCGGGCUCAACCUGGGAACUGCAUUUGAAACUGGCAAGCUAGAGUCUCGUAGAGGGGGGUAGAAUUCCAGGUGUAGCGGUGAAAUGCGUAGAGAUCUGGAGGAAUACCGGUGGCGAAGGCGGCCCCCUGGA
This 386-nucleotide ribosomal RNA is filed under the name uncultured bacterium. RNAcentral's name for it is "partial 16S ribosomal RNA". It matches the Rfam family "Bacterial small subunit ribosomal RNA", at positions 355 to 733 of the family's 1533-position model. The record is from RNAcentral.